CCUACGGGAGGCAGCAGUGGGGAAUAUUGCACAAUGGGCGAAAGCCUGAUGCAGCAACGCCGCGUGUGUGAAGAAGGCCUGCGGGUUGUAAAGCACUUUCGGUAGGAAAGAAAAGACCGUCGCUAAUACCGGCGGUUCUUGACGUUACCUACAGAAGAAGCACCGGCUAAUUCCGUGCCAGCAGCCGCGGUAAUACGGAAGGUGCGAGCGUUAAUCGGAAUUACUGGGCGUAAAGCGCGCGUAGGUGGUUCGGUAAGUCGGGUGUGAAAGCCCUGGGCUCAACCUGGGAACUGCAUUCGAUACUGCCGAGCUAGAGUAUGGUAGAGGGGGGUGGAAUUCCCGGUGUAGCGGUGAAAUGCGUAGAGAUUUGGAGGAACACCAGUGGCGAAGGCGACUUUCUGGUCUGUAACUGACACUGAGGCGCGAAAGCGUGGGGAGCAAACAGGAUUAGAUACCCUGGUAGUCCACGCCGUAAACGAUGAGUGCUAAGUGUUAGAGGGUUUCCGCCCUUUAGUGCUGCAGCUAACGCAUUAAGCACUCCGCCUGGGGAGUACGGCCGCAAGGCUGAAACUCAAAGGAAUUGACGG
RNAcentral lists this ribosomal RNA (587 nucleotides) under uncultured bacterium. RNAcentral's name for it is "bacterial SSU rRNA". It matches the Rfam family "Bacterial small subunit ribosomal RNA", at positions 338 to 916 of the family's 1533-position model. The record is from RNAcentral.